GCCACAUGUCAACCGGCAUUGUCUCGUCGUUUGCUGCAGUUUCCCGCUGUUCUGUUUUUACGACCGUUCGAGGUGAUACUGGUUACUGGUGACUGAUAUUAACAGAUAUUCGACGAGAUGGAUGACGAUUUGCCGUAUAUGGUAGAGUACGCGAAAAGCGAUCGCUCGAAGUGUCAAUCAUGCAAGCAAUCAAUUAUGAAGACGAGUUUAAGACUCGCCACCGUUGUUCAGAGUCCUGUUCACGAUGGAAAGAUACCUAGAUGGUAUCACUUCAAAUGCUUCUUCUUAAAACAAAGACCAAGUUCCACUAAUGACAUAGCUUGUUUCGAUCAGAUUCGCAAUCAAGAUCAAGAUGCAAUUCGAAAGAAAAUUGAAGAAUGUCGUAAUGUACCUUCUGCAUCAAAAGGAAGAAAAAGAACAAAAGGUAGUGCUUCUGGAGAUUUUAGAGUAGAAUAUGCUAAGUCUAGCAGAGCCACUUGUAUAGGAUGCCAAGAAAAGAUAAUAAAAGGUGAAACAAGAAUAGCAAAGAAAGAUUAUGAGAGCGAAGAAGCUAGGAAGUUUGGUGGUUUAGACAGAUGGCUUCAUGUGGAAUGUUUCGUGAAACUAAGAGCGGAUAUGGGAUAUUACGGAAGAGGAGAUGAGCUUCCAGGUGCCGAACAACUCUCAAAAGAAGAUCGGGCAAAUCUCAAAACUUCAUUACCUAAAAUGAAUCAAGGCGAUAUACCACCACCUCCUAAAAAGGUUAAGGAUGAACCAGAAGAUGCAGAGGAAACAAAGUUGAUAAAAAAACAAAAUGAUGAGCUAUAUGCUAUAAAAGAUAAAAUAUCACAUCUUGGAAAGAAAGAAAUGAUUGAAUUAUUGGAAGAAAAUGAUCAAAGGAUUCCAAGUGGUACAUCAAAUAUCAUAAGUCUCUUAACUGAUAUACUAUAUUUUGGAGCUCUACAACCCUGUCCAAAAUGUAAUGGACAGCUCGUAUACAAUUCUGGUUUGGGUUAUAAAUGCACCGGCAAUGCAACAGAAUGGAGUAAAUGCGAAUAUGUUACACAAAAUCCAAAAAGAAAACUAUGCAAAAUACCAAUCGAUAUGGAGACAUUUCCAAUUAAAUCAUACAAAUCUAAGAUAAGAAAACGAAUAUUUCAAAUAACAAUGCCGUCUUCGUCGAGUGCUGUUAAAAAAGAGGAAGAUGAAGCAGAUGGACCGAAAAUACAAGGAAAACCACGCCCUUUAAAGAACAUGCAGUUUGUUAUAUUAGGUCGUACACAGAAAGAUAAAGAGGAAUUAAAAAAGGAAAUUUUAUUGUUAGGUGGUACUGUUGUAACAAAAAUCCAUCAAGAUUUGGCUGCUGUAAUUUCGAAUCAAAAUGAAGUGGAUAAAAUGAAUAAAAGAAUGGAAGAUGUUAAAUUACACGACAUUCAAGUAAUAACGGAAGAUUUUAUAGAAGAAGCAAAAGAGUACACAGAUUCUCCCAUCAUGCUGCUAAAGAAGAAAACUAUUUCUAGCUGGGGUGGCGAUAUUAAUGCUAGACUUUCUAAUGUUAUCGCAAAAUCUGCUUCUAAGAGUAAGAGCAAAUUUGAGAAGUCGGGUUCUGGUAAAAUGAAGGUAAAAGUGAAAGGCGGUGGAGCUGUCGAUCCCGAUAGCGGUUUAGAAGAUGUUGCGCAUAUUUAUCAAAAAGGCAAAGAUAAAUAUACCGUCACGUUAGGUCUAACAAACAUACAAUCAAAGAAAAAUAGUUAUUACAAGCUGCAAAUUUUGAAACAUGACAAGCAUGAAAGAUAUCACUUGUUUAGAAGUUGGGGCCGGAUUGGUACUACAAUUGGCGGUGACAAAUUGGAUAGAAUGUCUUUGGAAGAAUGUAUAGAACAGUUUGAAUCGUUGUAUGAGGAGAAGACGGGUAAUCAAUGGAAGAAUAGAGAGCAUUUUGUCAAAGUACCGAACUUGAUGUAUCCGAUCGAUAUAGAUCAUGGGGAUCAGGAGAUUGUUUCCCUAGAUUCAGAUAUUAAGAGUAAUUUGCAGAAACCAAUUCAGGAUCUGAUACGUCUUAUUUUUGACGUAAAUGAGAUGAAAAAAGUUAUGCUGGAGUUUGAGAUAGACCUGGAUAAGAUGCCGCUCGGAAAAUUGUCUAAGAAACAAAUUGAAAAAGCUUAUGUCGUUUUAACGGAGUUGCAAGAAGUGUUAAAGGUAAUGACUGAUGACGUAGAUCGUACUACAUUGGUUGAUGCUUCCAAUAGAUUCUAUACACUGAUACCACAUAAUUUUGGAGUUUCCGGGCCAAAAAUUCUUGGAUCAUUGGAAGAAAUCAAGACCAAGUGCGAUAUGCUGGAUGCACUGCUUGAGAUGGAAGUUGGAUACAAUCUUUUAUGUGAUAAGACUAAUGAAAAGGAGAAUCCACUCGAUAGUCAUUAUAAACAGUUGAAGACUGACAUCGAAGUGAUGGAUAAGACGAGCGAAGAGUUCAAGAUGAUCGAGAAGUACGUCAAGAAUACUCAUGCGGCUACUCAUAAGCAGUACGAACUCGAAAUCAAGGAAGUGUUUAUUAUUAAGAGACAAGGAGAAGAACAGAGGUUUAAGCCUUUCAAGAAAUUGCCCAACAGAAAGUUACUCUGGCACGGAUCCAGAACUACGAAUUACGCAGGAAUACUGUCUCAAGGUUUGCGUAUCGCACCGCCAGAAGCGCCCGUUACUGGUUACAUGUUCGGCAAAGGUAUAUAUUUCGCCGAUAUGGUAUCGAAGUCUGCAAAUUAUUGUUGCACACACAGCCAGAAUCCAACUGGUUUGUUGCUGCUUUGCGAAGUUGCUUUGGGUAAUAUGUACGAGAAAUAUCAAGCGGACUACAUCGAGAAGCUACCGAAAGGAAAACAUUCGACGUUGGGUCGUGGCCAGACGCAACCUGAUCCGCAAACUGUCUACAAGACCAAGGACGGCAUUGAAGUACCUUAUGGAAAGGGAGUACCUGCUAAACUUAAUAACACUUCGGCAUUAUUAUACAAUGAAUACAUCGUAUAUGAUAUCGCUCAGUUGUAGAGGAAGGAUAUCGUAACCUUGAACCGCAUACUCCUGUUUUAUAAAAUCUGAAGUCAGUCACACUACGUACAUAUAGUUCCGAAGAAUCACUCGACCAGGACGGACGCGUUUCGAUUCAGUCUUGAAAGUAUCUCAGUAAAAACUCUCUCGGAAAGAACAUAUUGUGAAGGAAAGGAAGUGUUCUUAA
Molecule: unclassified non-coding RNA, 3208 nt
Filed under: Acromyrmex echinatior (Panamanian leafcutter ant)
Lineage: Eukaryota; Metazoa; Arthropoda; Insecta; Hymenoptera; Formicidae
Description: poly [ADP-ribose] polymerase, transcript variant X4
Source: RNAcentral